RNA transcript from Fragaria vesca subsp. vesca, 499 nucleotides. RefSeq lists it as uncharacterized. Lineage: Eukaryota; Viridiplantae; Streptophyta; Magnoliopsida; Rosales; Rosaceae. The record is from RefSeq and is a predicted model, not a curated record. The transcript is spliced from 5 exons.
AUGGUCACCACCUGGAAGACAAACUUAUCAAGACCUGCCUGUUGAAGAUCUUCACAGUGGACGCAGCUCCCAGUCAUUUGUAACUCCCACAGAACAGCUACGGACAUAUUUAUUUGACAAUGAUGUACCACCACCUGACAUCAUGGAUGAACUGAGAACCAAUCUUAAUGUGACAUGAGAGGAGCUGAUAGCAACUUGGCAACACUAAGAAAUUCGGGAGAUCGAUGAAAGAAGAUCUGUCCUGAGCUCCUCAUCUGGAAAGGUAGCUAACAAAAACAGUUCAGAAGUCGAUUCAGAACGAUCGAAGAGCAAAAGGCGUUAUUCAUCUAAACAUAGCAAUGAUGGACUUGAACCAGUGUCAGAGGACAAUGGAUUUCAUCACCCUGAUCCAAACUUUAAGGUAUCAAGGUUAUCUGGAAAUGGCCCAACACCUGUAUGACCUGAUCAAGAACUAUUGAUGGAAACUGGACCGACCCAGACACAACAGCCUAUCAGCAGU